UGGGGGAAUAUUGCACAAUGGGCGCAAGCCUGAUGCAGCCAUGCCGCGUGUGUGAAGAAGCCUUCGGUUGUAAGCACUUUCAGCGAGGAGGAAGGUGGGUGAACUUAAUACGUUCAUCAAUUGACGUUACUCGCAGAAGAAGCACCGGCUAACUCCGUGCCAGCAGCCGCGGUAAUACGGAGGGUAGCAAGCGUAAUCGGAAUUACUGGGCGUAAAGCGCACGCAAGGCGGUUUGUUAAGUCAGAUGUGAAAUCCCCGGGCUCAACCUGGGAACUGCAUUUGAAACUGGCAAGCUAGAGUCUCGUAGAGGGGGGUAGAAUUCCAGGUGUAGCGGUGAAAUGCGUAGAGAUCUGGAGGAAUACCGGUGGCGAAGGCGGCCCCCUGGACGAAGACUGACGCUC
RNAcentral lists this ribosomal RNA (401 nucleotides) under uncultured bacterium. RNAcentral's name for it is "partial 16S ribosomal RNA". It matches the Rfam family "Bacterial small subunit ribosomal RNA", at positions 354 to 748 of the family's 1533-position model. The record is from RNAcentral.